GGACUACCGGGGUAUCUAAUCCUGUUUGCUCCCCACGCUUUCGCGUCUCAGCGUCAGUAUCCGUCCAGAAGGCCGCCUUCGCCACCGGUGUUCCUCCUGAUAUCUACGCAUUUCACCGCUACACCAGGAAUUCCACCUUCCUCUCCGGUACUCUAGCCUCCCAGUUUCCAAUGCACUUCCGGGGGUAAGCCCCGGGCUUUCACAUCAGACUUAAGAGGCCGCCUACACGCGCUUUACGCCCAGUGAUUCCGAACAACGCUUGCACCCUCCGUAUUACCGCGGCUGCUGGCAC
This 292-nucleotide ribosomal RNA is filed under the name uncultured bacterium. Its description in RNAcentral is "partial 16S ribosomal RNA". The record is from RNAcentral.